This 447-nucleotide ribosomal RNA is filed under the name Loxosceles caribbaea. RNAcentral describes it as "partial 16S ribosomal RNA". The stretch from base 104 to 405 matches the Rfam family "Bacterial large subunit ribosomal RNA", at positions 2074 to 2646 of the family's 2925-position model. The record is from RNAcentral. Lineage: Eukaryota; Metazoa; Arthropoda; Arachnida; Araneae; Sicariidae.
UGGCUUUUUAAUUAAAAGAUAGAAKGAAAGGACAAACGACUUAUCAAUUUUCUAAUAUUUAAAUAAUCAAUUUAAUAUAAAUGUAAAAAAGCAUUUAUCAAAAAGAAAGACAACAAGACCCUAUAGAACUUUAACUAAUAAGUUUAGCUGGGGUAGCAUAAAAAUAAACUUUUAUAAUCCUAUACAAAUACAGACCUAAUUUAUUUUAAAAUUUAAAACAAGUUACCUUAGGGAUAACAGCGCUAUUUUCUUACAAAGAACCUAUAAAAAAGAAAGAUUACGACCUCGAUGUUGAAUUAAUUUAACUCCAAUAAGCAAAAACAUUAAGAGUAAGUCUGUUCGACUUUUAAAAAAUUACAUGAUUUGAGUUCAGACCGGUGAAAGCCAGGUCAGAUUCUAUCUUCUUUAUUUUAAUUAUAGUACGAAAGGACCAAAUUAUAUAUCAGA